UACGUAGGGUGCAAGCGUUAAUCGGAAUUACUGGGCGUAAAGCGUGCGCAGGCGGUUCUAUAAGACAGAUGUGAAAUCCCUGGGCUCAACCUGGGAACUGCAUUUGUGACUGUAGAGCUGGAGUACGGUAGAGGGGGAUGGAAUUCCGCGUGUAGCAGUGAAAUGCGUAGAUAUGCGGAGGAACACCGAUGGCGAAGGCAAUCCCCUGGGCCUGCACUGACGCUCAUGCACGAAAGCGUGGGGAGCAAACAGG
RNAcentral lists this ribosomal RNA (253 nucleotides) under uncultured bacterium. RNAcentral describes it as "partial 16S ribosomal RNA". It matches the Rfam family "Bacterial small subunit ribosomal RNA", at positions 524 to 776 of the family's 1533-position model. The record is from RNAcentral.